GACCAUGCUUCUCUUGUGGUGGCUGUGGUGGGCGGUAACUUAGGGAGGGGUCAGAGUUCCAGGACCAUGAGGGAAUGCCUAACAUGUCAUGAAGGUGAAUUAUGACCAUCGGGGUUCAGACCUCAGCUCAACUGGAUACUAGCCUGCAAUUUCCCACAGUGACAUCCUCAUUGAGUCCUGUUCCUUGUGACACCCUUGAAGACCCUCUCCAUUAGUUACUCCCUAAUUUCACAGAGAGACCUGGAUUCCUGCUCCUGCUGUCAGAUCCUCUUUCAGCUAAAACAUCUGGGAUUGAGAGGUGUGGUUUUACUGGAUUUUGAUCUUAUGGCUCUGAGAUGUCUCCUCAUGAAAGUGAACCAAUCAGGAUGGCAGUUCAUGGUCCACCCCAAUUCC
Long non-coding RNA from Mus musculus (house mouse), 393 nucleotides. RefSeq annotates it as predicted gene, 42118. The record is from RefSeq and is a predicted model, not a curated record. The transcript is spliced from 3 exons. Lineage: Eukaryota; Metazoa; Chordata; Mammalia; Rodentia; Muridae.